Molecule: ribosomal RNA, 391 nt
Filed under: Ovis nivicola (snow sheep)
Lineage: Eukaryota; Metazoa; Chordata; Mammalia; Artiodactyla; Bovidae
Description: partial 12S ribosomal RNA
Rfam family: Bacterial small subunit ribosomal RNA
Source: RNAcentral
AGCCCUAAACACAAAUAAUUAUAAGAACAAAAUUAUUCGCCAGAGUACUACCGGCAACAGCCCGAAACUCAAAGGACUUGGCGGUGCUUUAUACCCUUCUAGAGGAGCCUGUUCUAUAAUCGAUAAACCCCGAUAAACCUCACCAAUCCUUGCUAAUACAGUCUAUAUACCGCCAUCUUCAGCAAACCCUAAAAAGGAACAAAAGUAAGCUCAAUAAUAUUACAUAAAGACGUUAGGUCAAGGUGUAACCUAUGGAAUGGGAAGAAAUGGGCUACAUUUUCUACCCCAAGAAAAAUUUAAUACGAAAGCCAUUAUGAAAUUAAUAGCCAAAGGAGGAUUUAGCAGUAAACUAAGAAUAGAGUGCUUAGUUGAAUUAGGCCAUGAAGCACGC